RNAcentral lists this ribosomal RNA (440 nucleotides) under uncultured bacterium. Its description in RNAcentral is "bacterial SSU rRNA". It matches the Rfam family "Bacterial small subunit ribosomal RNA", at positions 958 to 1398 of the family's 1533-position model. The record is from RNAcentral.
AACGCGAAGAACCUUACCCAGACUUGACAUGCAGAGGACGACAACAGAGAUGUUGUUUCCCUUCGGGGCUUCUGCACAGGUGCUGCAUGGCUGUCGUCAGCUCGUGCCGUGAGGUGUUGGGUUAAGUCCCGCAACGAGCGCAACCCUUAUCAUUAGUUGCCAACAUGUUAUGGUGGGAACUCUAGUGAGACUGCCUGGGUUAACCAGGAGGAAGGUGAGGAUGACGUCAAGUCCGCAUGGCCCUUAUGUCUGGGGCUACACACGUGCUACAAUGGACGGUACAGAAGGCAGCGAAAUCGUGAGAUGGAGCAAAUCCGAAAAACCGUUCUCAGUUCAGAUUGUAGUCUGCAACUCGACUACAUGAAGUUGGAAUUGCUAGUAAUGGCGGGUCAGCAACACCGCCGUGAAUACGUUCCCGGGCCUUGUACACACCGUACGUC